RNAcentral lists this ribosomal RNA (253 nucleotides) under uncultured bacterium. Its description in RNAcentral is "partial 16S ribosomal RNA". It matches the Rfam family "Bacterial small subunit ribosomal RNA", at positions 524 to 776 of the family's 1533-position model. The record is from RNAcentral.
UACGAAGGGUGCUAGCGUUGUUCGGAAUUACUGGGCGUAAAGCGCGCGUAGGCUGCGAUUCAAGUCAGAGGUGAAAGCCCAGGGCUCAACCCUGGAAUUGCCUUUGAAACUAAAUCGCUAGAAUAUCGGAGGGGAUAGCGGAAUUCCUAAUGUAGCAGUGAAAUGCGUAGAUAUUAGGAGGAACACCGGUGGCGAAGGCGGCUAUCUGGACGAUUAUUGACGCUGAGGCGCGAAAGCGUGGGGAUCAAACAGG